GCCCUCUGCCCUACUAUCUGCAGCUGCCAGGCUUCAAUUUCCAAUCGAUGUAGACGAAGAUCAGCUCGCCCUCUCCAGUCCUUAGCAGAGUUUGGGAAACAGGGUUGAUAAGGUCUUCACUACAAUGGCAUAUGAAAAUAUGGUGAAUGAAUUGCAUGAAAACAUUGGGAUGCCAAUUGAGAAAGGUCUUCACUACAAGAAUUGCUAAUUACACGAUAAAUUGUUGAUGCUUUUUGCUAAAGAUUGUGAAAAGAGAGGAGCUAAAGGGGGGUCAAUUUGGUGGUAGCUCAAUAGGCAGAGGAGUAUUUGAUGGUAUUCCUUUGCAAGAUGUAGUUGGUCGACAAGAGAUGAAAUAUUCAAGAGGUAGUUUAAAAGCAUAAGGGAAGCAAUUAAAGAUGUAGCAGAAGCAAUCAGGGAGGGGAUGUUAUAGCUGAUGAGAGAGGAGGACCACAUGUUUAAUCAGAGCUGGAAGUAUUUGAAGAAUUAGUGAACAUCAGUGUUGAAA
This is a long non-coding RNA of Hibiscus syriacus, 505 nucleotides long. RefSeq lists it as uncharacterized. The transcript has 3 exons. The record is from RefSeq and is a predicted model, not a curated record. Lineage: Eukaryota; Viridiplantae; Streptophyta; Magnoliopsida; Malvales; Malvaceae.